AUUGAACGCUGGCGGCAUGCCUUACACAUGCAAGUCGAACGGUAACGGGCCUUCGGGUGCCGACGAGUGGCGAACGGGUGAGUAAUACAUCGGAACGUGCCCGAUCGUGGGGGAUAACGAGGCGAAAGCUUUGCUAAUACCGCAUACGAUCUACGGAUGAAAGCAGGGGACCGCAAGGCCUUGCGCGGACGGAGCGGCCGAUGGCAGAUUAGGUAGUUGGUGGGAUAAAAGCUUACCAAGCCGACGAUCUGUAGCUGGUCUGAGAGGUUGAUCAGCCACACUGGGACUGAGACACGGCCCAGACUCCUACGGGAGGCAGCAGUGGGGAAUUUUGGACAAUGGGCGCAAGCCUGAUCCAGCCAUGCCGCGUGCAGGAUGAAGGCCUUCGGGUUGUAAACUGCUUUUGUACGGAACGAAAAGCCUUCUUUUAAUACAGGAGGGUCAUGACGGUACCGUAAGAAUAAGCACCGGCUAACUACGUG
Molecule: ribosomal RNA, 482 nt
Filed under: uncultured bacterium
Lineage: Bacteria
Description: partial 16S ribosomal RNA
Rfam family: Bacterial small subunit ribosomal RNA
Source: RNAcentral